This 72-nucleotide transfer RNA is filed under the name Camelus bactrianus (Bactrian camel). It matches the Rfam family "tRNA". From Rfam's summary of the family: Transfer RNA (tRNA) molecules are approximately 80 nucleotides in length. Their secondary structure includes four short double-helical elements and three loops (D, anti-codon, and T loops). Further hydrogen bonds mediate the characteristic L-shaped molecular structure. tRNAs have two regions of fundamental functional importance: the anti-codon, which is responsible for specific mRNA codon recognition, and the 3' end, to which the tRNAs corresponding amino acid is attached (by aminoacyl-tRNA synthetases). tRNAs cope with the degeneracy of the genetic code in two manners: having more than one tRNA (with a specific anti-codon) for a particular amino acid; and 'wobble' base-pairing, i.e. permitting non-standard base-pairing at the 3rd anti-codon position. RNAcentral also lists the same sequence under 1 other name. The record is from Rfam by way of RNAcentral. Lineage: Eukaryota; Metazoa; Chordata; Mammalia; Artiodactyla; Camelidae.
GAGGGUAUUGCUUAGUGGUGGAGCACAUGCUUAGCAUGCAUGAGGUCCUGGGUUCAAUCCCCAGUCCCCCCA